This 125-nucleotide microRNA precursor is filed under the name Podarcis lilfordi (Lilford's wall lizard). Lineage: Eukaryota; Metazoa; Chordata; Lepidosauria; Squamata; Lacertidae. The record is from RNAcentral.
UGUCCAGCAGCACCUUAGAGACCAACUAAGUUUGUUCUUGGUAUAAGCUUUCUGAAGAAGUGUGCAUGCACAUGAAAGCUUAUACCAAGAACAAACUUAGUUGGUCUCUAAGGUGCUACUGGACA